AUUAAAUAUGGAUAACAGGACUGCGGUUACUGUGGCAGUGCACAGAGCCCUCAUGCCAGUCAGGUGCCAGCAUAUGUCAGCAGUCUUGUAAGUGGCUAAUAAAAAAAUCAAUAAAAUAAAAAAUUUUAAAAAAUAGUUUCCUCCAACGAAAUCUUGGUGAGUUCCUGUGUUUUUCAAAAGUUACAUCUUCCAGAGGGUCAUUUAUUUGCCACAAAGCGUUAGUCUCAACUACCUCUUUCUGUCCUCAACUACCUCUUUCUGUCCAAUUACUUCCCACAUCUCAGUUUCUCUUCCUGACCUAGAAAAUUAUUUACAAGAUAUACUUGGUUGGCUACAGAUCUUCAACUGCAACUUCCCUCUGCUACUUGCUCUGCUAAGCACAGCAACAAAGACAGAGGCUUUUUCUUCUUAUUUUAUUUUUUUUUUCUAGAAAGAAAAAGUGAAACAGGCAGAGUGUUCCCAUGUUUUUCCACCAGUGGCACAAGAAGGCAAUGAAGGAGAAGCUGGGGCAGAUGUUGACCUGAGAUCUGGAGCACACCUUCCCAGUGGGGGUACCAGGAUAGAAGACCUCCCAUCAUCACUUUUACUCCUGAGGGACGAGGGGCAGACCUGUACUGUGGUCACAAGUGCAGAAGAAGUUCGUGUAGAUGUUCCUGAGCUUCAGAAAUACACACUCGACCUUCAAGAGUUGCUGCCAAUUUGUCCAGUGUUCACACAGUGUGUAGCACAGGCCUCCUGCUAUGCCUCGUGAGUGCUGCUGCAGUACAGCCACCUUUCCUUUUGUCUGGGCACCUUUAUCAGUACAGCUGAAGGGAACACUGUGUGGACUGUGAAUUCCUCUCCAAGAUCAUGUAAAUUCUUGGACGGUACAUGCUGUUGCACUUAGUAUUAAUCUAACUAGCUAAAGCUGGUUUGCAUACAUCUGCAGCUACAGCAGAAGUUUAAUGAUAAAUAUUCCCAAAUGUAGCCAUGCAAAUAGUGGCAAAUAUUGAAUAAAUGCAUGAAAUGCAUUUAGUAAGUAAAAAAA
This 1027-nucleotide long non-coding RNA is filed under the name Cyanistes caeruleus (blue tit). Its description in RNAcentral is "lncRNA (ENSCCEG00000013175.1)". The record is from RNAcentral. Lineage: Eukaryota; Metazoa; Chordata; Aves; Passeriformes; Paridae.